GAUGAAGAACGCAGCGAAAUGCGAUAAGUAAUGUGAAUUGCAGAAUUCAGUGAAUCAUCGAAUCUUUGAACGCACAUUGCGCCCGCCAGUAUUCUGGCGGGCAUGCCUGUUCGAGCGUCAUUUCAACCAUCAAGCCCCCGGCUUGUGUUGGGGACCUGCGGCUGCCACAGGCCCUGAAAUGCAGUGGCGGGCUCGCUGUCACUCCGAGCGUAGUAGUUACAUCUCGCUCUGGGCGUGCUGCGGGUUCCGGCCGUUAAAAGCCUUAUUUACCCAAGGUUGACCUCAGAUCAGGUAGGAAGACCCGCUGAACUUAAGCAUAUCAAUAAGCGGAGGA
RNAcentral lists this unclassified non-coding RNA (334 nucleotides) under soil metagenome. RNAcentral's name for it is "partial contains 5.8S ribosomal RNA, internal transcribed spacer 2, and large subunit ribosomal RNA". The stretch from base 1 to 120 matches the Rfam family "5.8S ribosomal RNA", at positions 35 to 154 of the family's 154-position model. The record is from RNAcentral.